This 293-nucleotide ribosomal RNA is filed under the name uncultured bacterium. Its description in RNAcentral is "partial 16S ribosomal RNA". The record is from RNAcentral.
GGACUACUGGGGUUUCUAAUCCCGUUCGCUCCCCUGGCUUUCGCCCCUCAGCGUCAGGUACCUCCCAGGACACUGCCUUCGCCUUUGGUAUUCCUCCGGAUCUCUACGCAUUUCACCACUCCACCCGGAAUUCUAUGUCCCUCUGAGGCCCUCUCAGUCCCACCGUCUUCCCGGCACUCCUCUCGUUAAGCAAGAGACUGGCACCGGAAACGCGCAGAACCGCCUGCGGGCGCUUUACGCCCAGUAACUCCGGACAACGCUUGCCCCCUACGUAUUACCGCGGCUGCUGGCAC